This is a long non-coding RNA of Mya arenaria, 440 nucleotides long. RefSeq lists it as uncharacterized. NCBI's taxonomy places the organism in Eukaryota, Metazoa, Mollusca, Bivalvia, Myida, Myidae. The transcript has 4 exons. The record is from RefSeq and is a predicted model, not a curated record.
AGUUGCUUGCUCUAGAUGAAACUAGAAGAUACAGAUGUGAGCUGUUGAAAACAAAUACGACCAUCCUUAAGAGUGUCAUUGAGUCGGUGCCUUGUUUUGGAGAAGGAAAAUAUGUGCUGUAUGAGUUCAAGAAGAUGUUUGGGGGAGAAUUUGCAGACAUUGUAGGAAACACAGAAUUUUGGUGCGGGCUACUCAAAGGCUAAUGGAUACGGUUUUGGGGCCAGAUGCAUUGAAUGCUGAUGAUGAUGGAAAGAAACGAAAUGAGAUCUGGAGUAUUGUCCUUGGAUCCCUGCAGCUAAUUGAAAGCGAGACGAAGUUUGACCGGGGGGAAACAGGGCACAAAACGCCAUCAACCCACAAUUCAAGUGUGCGAGUGUGAAGCGAACACAGAAAUAGAUGUCUUGCAGAAAUCGAAAACCGGCACAGCCCCUACAUUAACG